CUACCUGCAGUCGAGCGAGAACCGGAGCUUCGGCUCCGGGGACAGCGGCGAACGGGUGAGUAACACGUUGGAUAACCUGCCCUCGGCACCGGAAUAGCCCGGGGAAACCCGGAUUAAUGCCGGAUUGCCCCACAUCCCUGCGGGGAACGUGGGAAAAGGUAGCUUCGGCCUCUGGCCGAGGAUGGGUCCGCGGUGGAUUAGCUUGUUGGCGGGGUAAUGGCCCACCAAGGCGACGAUCCAUAGCUGGUCUGAGAGGACGAUCAGCCACACUGGGACUGAGACACGGCCCAGACUCCUACGGGAGGCAGCAGUGGGGAAUCUUGCGCAAUGGGCGAAAGCCUGACGCAGCGACGCCGCGUGCGGGAAGAAGGCCUUAGGGUUGUAAACCGCUUUCAGGAGGGACGAAGCCACUCGGGUUAAUAGCCCAGAGGGUGACGGUACCUCCAGAAGAAGCCCCGGCUAACUACGUGCCAGCAGCCGCGGUAAUACGUAGGGGGCAAGCGUUGUCCGGAUUCAUUGGGCGUAAAGAGCGUGUAGGCGGCCAGGUAGGUCGGUUGUGAAAACUGGAGGCUCAACCUUCAGAGGUCGACCGAAACCAUCUGGCUAGAGUCCGGGAGAGGAGAGUGGAAUUCCUGGUGUAGCGGUGAAAUGCGCAGAUAUCAGGAAGAACACCCGUGGCGAAAGCGGCUCUCUGGAACGGUACUGACGCUGAGACGCGAAAGCGUGGGGAGCGAACAGGAUUAGAUACCCUGGUAGUCCACGCCGUAAACGAUGGGCGCUAGGUGUGGGAGGUGUCGACUCCUUCCGUGCCGCAGCUAACGCAUUAAGCGCCCCGCCUGGGGAGUACGGC
RNAcentral lists this ribosomal RNA (850 nucleotides) under uncultured bacterium. RNAcentral's name for it is "bacterial SSU rRNA". It matches the Rfam family "Bacterial small subunit ribosomal RNA", at positions 51 to 886 of the family's 1533-position model. The record is from RNAcentral.